AUCAACUUUCGAUGGUAGGAUAGAGGCCUACCAUGGUGGUAACGGGUAACGGGGUGUUAGGGCACGACACCGGAGAGGGAGCCUGAGAAACGGCUACCACAUCCAAGGAUGGCAGCAGGCGCGCAAAUUACCCAAUCCCGACACGGGGAGGUAGUGACAAUAAAUAACAAUACGGGGUUCUUUCGGAUCUCGUAAUUGGAAUGAGUACAAUUUAAAUCUCUUAACGAGGAACAAUUGGAGGGCAAGUCUGGUGCCAGCAGCCGCGGUAAUUCCAGCUCCAAUAGCGUAUAUUAAAGUUGUUGCAGUUAAAAAGCUCGUAGUUGAAUUUCGGGGUUAGUAGGCUGGUCAUGCCACCGGUAUGUACUGGUCUCACUGAUUCCUCCUUCCUGAUGAACUGUAAUGCCAUUAAUUUGGUGUUGCAGGGAAUCUGGACUGUUACUUUGAAAAAAUUAGAGUGUUUAAAGCAGGCUAACGCUUGAAUACAUUAGCAUGGAAUAAUGAAAUAGGAUGUUCGAUCCUAUUUUGUUGGUUUCUAGGAUUGACGUAAUGAUUAAUAGGGAUAGUUGAGGGCAUUAGUAUUCAAUUGUCAGAGGUGAAAUUCUUGGAUUUAUUGAAGACUAACUACUGCGAAAGCAUUUGCCAAGGAUGUUUUCAUUAAUCAAGAACGAAAGUUAGGGGAUCGAAGACGAUCAGAUACCGUCGUAGUCUUAACCAUAAACUAUGCCGACUAGGGAUCGGAUGAUGUUAAUUUUUUAAUGACUCAUUCGGCGCCUUACGGGAAACCAAAGUGUUUGGGUUC
RNAcentral lists this ribosomal RNA (799 nucleotides) under uncultured Rhizophagus. RNAcentral describes it as "SSU rRNA". It matches the Rfam family "Eukaryotic small subunit ribosomal RNA", at positions 314 to 1114 of the family's 1831-position model. Lineage: Eukaryota; Fungi; Glomeromycota; Glomeromycetes; Glomerales; Glomeraceae. The record is from RNAcentral.